UGAUUGUGCCAGCAGCCGCGGUAAUACGUAGGGUGCGAGCGUUAAUCGGAAUUACUGGGCGUAAAGCGUGCGCAGGCGGUUCGACAAGUCAGCUGUGAAAGCCCCGGGCUUAACCUGGGAACUGCGGUUGAAACUGGAGGACUAGAAUCUGGCCAGAGGGGGGUUGGAAAUUCCACGUUGUAGCCAGUUGAAAUGCCGUUAGAGAUGUUGGAAGGAACCACCGAAUGGCGAAAGGCCAGCCCCCUUGGGCCUGAGAAUUGAACCCCCUCAGGCCCGCCAAAAAUCCCUUUGGGGAAGGCCCAAAACAGGAAUUAAAUUCCCCCUUGGUUU
This 330-nucleotide ribosomal RNA is filed under the name uncultured bacterium. Its description in RNAcentral is "bacterial SSU rRNA". It matches the Rfam family "Bacterial small subunit ribosomal RNA", at positions 498 to 800 of the family's 1533-position model. The record is from RNAcentral.